UAAAAUCAAUAAGAGUAGGCUUGGGCCGCUACCCGUGCAAAAUUCAAAAUUUUUUACUAACUAAUAAUGUUUAAUGCAUCCCUGGCGCUCAUAUGACCUUAUGCAGUUGCGAACACCGCGAAACACUUACCAAAAACAACGCGAAGUAUGUUUUCUAAAAUCAAAUAAUGCCAUGUCUUUUACUGCGUCUCAUCGAGAACGAGGAAGAAGAAGAAGCGAGAACUGCAUCUCGUGAACUCAUCUCAACGAAUAAGGAUCUAUUUAUUAUUUUCUAUGUUGAUAUGUUUACUGAACAGAUUUCAUUUUUUGAACAAGAAUUGAAACUGGAGCAAAUCCGUUCUCCCCUCAGUUCUAUCCGUGUAUAGUUGGGAAAUGGGGACGGAGGAGGAGAAUAUUUAUUUUGUGCGUAACGUUUUGACUCUUGUACGAGAGACUUCGAAGUGACAGUAAAAAUGGUUCUGUCUUUUUUUUUUUCAACUUUGCAUUUUCAGUGAUUGCUGUUUCAUAAUAUGUACAGAAAAACAUUCCAACAGUCUUUCUUGAAUAUCUGUGGCCUUUUACAUUUGCUGUGUUGUUUCACGUAUUUGAAAUGUAAAAUGCACAUAUGAGUGGUUACUAUGUCCGUCAGUAACACUUUGUGGUUGAAAGUUCAAUUUGUAUUUUUAUUCGGAGCGUUGUCUCAACAUGUGAUGCCUGUAGAUGAUGUUCAUCUUUUGAAGUAGCUGUUUUCUGCUUUUAUAAGUUUGUUGUCGUAAUUGCCAUUCCAAUAUACCUGAGCUGAGCUGAGACUAGCUUUUUAGUAUGGCAUAGCUUGUUCACGUUCUUCUGUCUGCAGUAAAAGUUUUACUAAAACAAGAUAUAACUAAUCCCUCUGUUUAAUCUUCUCAGGCCUUUUCGUGCGAGUCGAAAAGUUGGGUGACCUUCAGAAUCUGACCUUUAACUGUGAACAGACAAAAGUGGAGAAGCAAUGAAGUCUAAGCCCUGUAUAUUUUGUAUUUUCUUAAUUUUAAAAAAAAGGUUAUUUAAAGUAGUAGGUGUAGUGUUUUGUACUAGUUUACUACAAAGUUUGUAGAACCAAGACGUUGUGAAAUAAAGGCAAAUAGACAAGGCUUGUUUCCUGUCUCAGCCGUGGGGGAUGACGCCCUUUUUGAAACUUCAUUUUGUCGGCCAGCCUUUCAGAUGUACAAGGCUCAAAAUUUUGGGGUUUUUUUUCGGGUAGUUUUUUAAUCAGUGGCAUAGGCUGCAGACACUGGAGAAAUAUUUCAUUGAAAUUCAAAUUCCCAAUGUUGAAAAAAAGCAGGAAAAGAUCAGAUACAUAAUGUCGAGAUUUUCUUUCUCCUGUUAAAAAUGUACUUUCUGGGCUUAGGACUUUUGGAACAGUUUGUUGAGGGUUUGUUACGUAACUUUAGCUGUGGUUGAGGUCAUUGAUACCUUUAUGUAACUGAAAUUUCCUGGAAUCACGCAGUUUUUGACCAUCUCUUUUUUUCUCCCUUGAAUCAAAUUGAGCUUGACUAUCUUUUUCCGUUUUUUGAAUCAAAUUGAGCUUGACAAUCUUUUUCCAUUGAAUUAAGUAGCACUGUACGUAAGCCAUCUUUCCCUUGAACCAAGUAACACCGUACGUAAGCCAUCUUUCCCUUGAACCAAGUAACACCGUACGUAAAACAUCUUUCCCUUGAACCAAGUAACACCGUACGUAAAACAUCUUUCCCUUGAACCAAGUAACACCGUACGUAAAACAUCUUUUUCCCUUGAACCAAGUAACACCGUACGUAAACCAUCUUUCCCUUGAAUCAAGUAACACUGUACGUAAACCAUCUUUCCCUUGAAUUAAGUAACACUGUAACUAAACCAUCUUUCCCUUGAAUCAAGUAACACCGUACGUAAACCAUCUUUUCCCCUUGAAGCAAGUAACACCGUACGUAAACCAUCUUUUCCCCUUGAAUCAAGUAACACUGUACGUAAACCAUCUUUUCCCCUUGAAUCAAGUAGUCCUUGACUAUCUGUACUGUUGUAUAGAACUUUGUCACCCUCAGAAAGUCACCCUGCUCUGACUCUGUUUUGUUUUUUUACGUCAAUAACAUUUUACCCACUCUCUAUCCAGCUCAGUCUAUCCAUGAGUUUAGAUUGAUGAGUUCAGCCAAUUUUUCCUCUAACAAACAUCCCUAUUAUGAACUGCUUAGUG
RNAcentral lists this long non-coding RNA (2182 nucleotides) under Aplysia californica (California sea hare). RNAcentral describes it as "uncharacterized LOC118477353". The record is from RNAcentral. Lineage: Eukaryota; Metazoa; Mollusca; Gastropoda; Aplysiida; Aplysiidae.